Cyanistes caeruleus (blue tit) is the source of this 916-nucleotide long non-coding RNA. RefSeq lists it as uncharacterized. The record is from RefSeq and is a predicted model, not a curated record. Lineage: Eukaryota; Metazoa; Chordata; Aves; Passeriformes; Paridae.
CAGGACCAUGUCCUUCCUGUGCUGGGCCCCCAGAGGUGGAUGCAGUACUCCAGGUGGGCUCACACCAGAGCAGAGGAGUGGUGGAAUCACCUCCUUCAAGCUGCUGGGCACCCUCAUUUGGAGGCACAUGGCUGGCUCAUGUCCAGCCUCUCACCUUGCAGCAGCCACAAGUCCUUCUCGGCAGGGCUGCUCUCCAUCCCUUCAUCCCCCAGCCUGUGAGAUCAGCUGGGCUGGGACCCUGUCAUAGCCCUUGACAGAGCUGCUGGGCAGGAUGAGCUCCCUGGUGAAGGAGGCAGAUCCCACUCCCCACACAAUUCCACCCUGGCCAUGAGGUCACAGCAGCCUGUGGGGUGACAGCAGGCUGAGGUGACAGCAGGCUCUGAGGUCACAGAGGUUCCAGAGCCCCGUGGUUGCACAGCACCCCAAGGACCGAGCAGUCAGUCCUUGACCACGACUGUUGUGGCAGCAGCAGCGGCAGCGGCAGCAGUGGUGCUGACAUUGGGACAGCGGUGUCAGGACAGUGGUGGCAGCAAGAGCUGCAGGACUGGCAGUGGGCAAGGCACCAUGGCCUUUGCUCUGCACCUCCUCCUCCUGCUCCUCCUGGCAGUAGCCCUGCCUGACAGGGCUGCCCAGGCUGCUCCAUGGUGAGCAGGGCAAGCAGAUGAGGGUGGUAGGAAGGCUUCUCAGGCAGCUUGGCUUCAUGAAGAUUUUCUGCCUCUGGAGCCCCAUGCAGGUGUGUCUGCAGUGAGGACGUUUCAAGCUCCUUUUCUGGUUGCUGCACACAACCCCAGCUCCCAUUGCAGGGGUCCUCCUAGAGGGAGGAACAAACCCACAGGAAACAAGAGGCUGAGUGUACUGGAGAGACGCCAUGGUGGGUCCAUGUCCCUCAGCCUUCUCCUGAGACUCAGCAGCCGGG